UACAGAGGGGGCAAGCGUUGUUCGGAAUUACUGGGCGUAAAGGGCGCGUAGGCGGCCUUCUAAGUCGAACGUGAAAUCCCUGGGCUCAACCCAGGAACUGCGUCCGACACUGGAAGGCUUGAAUCCGGGAGAGGGAUGCGGAAUUCCAGGUGUAGCGGUGAAAUGCGUAGAUAUCUGGAGGAACACCGGUGGCGAAGGCGGGUCUCUGGGCCGAUACUGACGCUGAGGAGCGAAAGCGUGGGGAGCGAACAGG
This 253-nucleotide ribosomal RNA is filed under the name uncultured bacterium. Its description in RNAcentral is "partial 16S ribosomal RNA". It matches the Rfam family "Bacterial small subunit ribosomal RNA", at positions 524 to 776 of the family's 1533-position model. The record is from RNAcentral.